This 325-nucleotide ribosomal RNA is filed under the name uncultured eukaryote. RNAcentral's name for it is "partial 18S ribosomal RNA". It matches the Rfam family "Eukaryotic small subunit ribosomal RNA", at positions 1470 to 1796 of the family's 1831-position model. The record is from RNAcentral.
CCCUUAGAUGUUCUGGGCCGCACGCGCGCUACACUGAUGCAUUCAACAAGUUUUACCUUGGCCGAGAGGCCUGGGAAAUCUUUCAAAUAUGUAUCGUGAUAGGGAUAGAUUAUUGCAAUUAUUAAUCUUGGACGAGGAAUUCCUAGUAAAUGCAGAUCAUCAUUCUGCGUUGAUUACGUCCCUGCCCUUUGUACACACCGCCCGUCGCACCUACCGAUUGAAUGAUCCGGUGAAGCCUCGGGAUUGUGCCCAGAGAACUUUAUUGUGAUUUGGGUGUGAGAACUUGUCUAAACCUUAUCAUUUAGAGGAAGGUGAAGUCGUAACA